Molecule: ribosomal RNA, 361 nt
Filed under: Staphylococcus aureus
Lineage: Bacteria; Bacillati; Bacillota; Bacilli; Caryophanales; Staphylococcaceae
Description: bacterial SSU rRNA
Rfam family: Bacterial small subunit ribosomal RNA
Source: RNAcentral
UUUUAUGGAGAGUUUGAUCCUGGCUCAGGAUGAACGCUGGCGGCGUGCCUAAUACAUGCAAGUCGAGCGAACGGAUGAGAAGCUUGCUUCUCUGAUGUUAGCGGCGGACGGGUGAGUAACACGUGGAUAACCUACCUAUAAGACUGGGAUAACUUCGGGAAACCGGAGCUAAUACCGGAUAAUAUUUUGAACCGCAUGGUUCAAAAGUGAAAGACGGUCUUGCUGUCACUUAUAGAUGGAUCCGCGCUGCAUUAGCUAGUUGGUAAGGUAACGGCUUACCAAGGCAACGAUGCAUAGCCGACCUGAGAGGGUGAUCGGCCACACUGGAACUGAGACACGGUCCAGCCUCCUACGGGAGGCA